UUCGCCCUUUUCCGGUUGAUCCUGCCGGACCUGACUGCUAUCGGAUUGAUACUAAGCCAUGCGAGUCAUUGUAGUAAUACAAGGCAGACGGCUCAGUAACGCGUAGUCAACCUAACCUAUGGACGGGAAUAACCUCGGGAAACUGAGAAUAAUGCCCGAUAGAACAUUAUGCCUGGAAUGGUUUAUGUUCCAAAUGAUUUAUCGCCGUAGGGUGGGACUGCGGCCUAUCAGUUUGUUGGUGAGGUAAUGGCCCACCAAGACUAUUACAGGUACGGGCUCUGAGAGGAGUAGCCCGGAGAUGGGUACUGAGACACGGACCCAGGCCCUAUGGGGCGCAGCAGGCGAGAAAACUUUGCAAUGUGCGAAAGCACGACAAGGUUAAUCCGAGUGGUUUCUGCUAAAGGAACCUUUUGUUAGUCCUAGAAACACUAACGAAUAAGGGGUGGGCAAGUUCUGGUGUCAGCCGCCGCGGUAAAACCAGCACCUCAAGUGGUCAGGAUGAUUAUUGGGCCUAAAGCAUCCGUAGCCGGCUCUGUAAGUUUUCGGUUAAAUCUGUACGCUCAACGUACAGGCUGCCGGGAAUACUGCAGAGCUAGGGAGUGGGAGAGGUAGACGGUACUCGAUAGGAAAGGGUAAAAUCCUUUGAUCUAUUGAUGACCACC
RNAcentral lists this ribosomal RNA (662 nucleotides) under uncultured archaeon. Its description in RNAcentral is "bacterial SSU rRNA". It matches the Rfam family "Archaeal small subunit ribosomal RNA", at positions 1 to 661 of the family's 1478-position model. The record is from RNAcentral.